RNAcentral lists this ribosomal RNA (504 nucleotides) under Pelobates cultripes (western spadefoot toad). It matches the Rfam family "Eukaryotic small subunit ribosomal RNA", at positions 174 to 578 of the family's 1831-position model. Lineage: Eukaryota; Metazoa; Chordata; Amphibia; Anura; Pelobatidae. The record is from RNAcentral.
UUGUCUGAAGAAAUGCCAUGCCAGGGAACUCCUUGGAGCUGGCUUUGGUGUGCUCGGUCCCUGGGUGCGGUGGGCAGUAGCAGGCAUACUGUCUAGGGGUCAGCUGCUCCGCUUUUGCACCCUGCUCUAGGAGGAGGAGGUGGAUGUGGAGUAGGAGGUUGAGGAGGCGGUGACCAUGGUGGCGAUGACGCAUUCGGAUGUCUGCCCUAUCAACUUUCGAUGUUACUUUCUGCACCUACCAUGGUGACCACGGGUAACGGGGAAUCAGGGUUCGAUUCCGGAGAGGGAGCCUGAGAAAUGGCUACCACAUCCAAGGAAGGCAGCAGGCACACAAAUUACCCACUCCCGAUGCGGGGAGGUAGUGAUGAUAAAUAACAAUACUGCCCUGUAAUUGGAAUGAGUCCACUUUAAAUCAUUUAACGAGGAUCUAUUGGAGGACAAGUCUGGUGCAGAGCGACUGACCCAUGCGUGCUGCAGCUGAAACUCUGCUAUCGCCUGCUACUG